AGUGGCGGACGGGUGAGUAACACGUAAGUAACCUGCCUCAGAGAGGGGGAUAACCAUUGGAAACGAUGGCUAAUACCGCAUGGGUUUGCGAUGGCGGGAGCGAUGGCAAAUAAAGCUAAGGCGCUCUGAGAGGGGCUUGCGUCCGAUUAGCUAGUUGGUGGGGUAAAGGCCUACCAAGGCGAUGAUCGGUAGCUGGUCUGAGAGGACGAUCAGCCACACGGGAACUGAGACACGGUCCCGACUCCUACGGGGGGCAGCAGUGAGGAAUAUUCGUCAAUGGGGGGAACCCUGAACGAGCAACGCCGCGUGGAGGAAGAAGGCCCUUGGGUUGUAAACUCCUUUUCUGUGGGAAGAGGAAGGACGGUACCACAGGAAUCAGUCACGGCUAACUACGUGCCAGCAGCCGCGGUAAUACGUAGGUGGCAAGCGUUAUCCGGAAUUACUGGGCGUAAAGCGCACGCAGGUGGUCACUUAAGUCUGAUGUGAAAGCUCCUGGCUUAACUGGGAGAGGUCGUUGGAAACUGGGUGACUUGAGGCAAUGAGAGGGGUGUGGAGUUCCCGGUGUAGUGGUGGAAUGCGUAGAUAUCGGGAGGAAUACCAGUGGCGGAAGCGGCACCCUGGCAUUGGCCUGACGCUCAGGUGCGAAAGCGUGGGGAGCAAACGGGAUUAGAUACCCCGGUAGUCCACGCUGUAAACGAUGAAUACUAGGUGUGG
This 714-nucleotide ribosomal RNA is filed under the name uncultured Caldilinea sp. Its description in RNAcentral is "bacterial SSU rRNA". It matches the Rfam family "Bacterial small subunit ribosomal RNA", at positions 94 to 825 of the family's 1533-position model. Lineage: Bacteria; Bacillati; Chloroflexota; Caldilineae; Caldilineales; Caldilineaceae. The record is from RNAcentral.